Mustela lutreola (European mink) is the source of this 2606-nucleotide long non-coding RNA. RefSeq lists it as uncharacterized. The record is from RefSeq and is a predicted model, not a curated record. The transcript is spliced from 3 exons. Lineage: Eukaryota; Metazoa; Chordata; Mammalia; Carnivora; Mustelidae.
CACAAGUGUGGGCGGGGGAGGGCAGAUAAAGAGGGACAAGCCGAGUCCGCGCUGGGCACAGAGCCUGACUCAGGACUUGAUCCAAGGACCCUGAAAUCAUCACCUGAGCUGAAGUCAAAAGUCGUGCUUCCCGGACUGCACCACCCAGGUACCCCGAAGCAAUCCUGUUAUACUGACCCAGUGAACGAGCACAGAUGAGGUCCGAGCUGGGCCAUACACACAUGGGCGGUGGGAGACGUCGGCCAGGGGGGCCGUGGAUGUCCUUGCUGGGGUGGUCGCGAUGACACAGAGGGUGUGCCUGGCAGACGUCUGUUGCAUGCACAGAGCACGAAGCCCGAGGACCAUCUGCUACCGGCCCCAGCCCAGAUGAUACAGUUAGAACCUACCCACAGCAUCCUCUCCCGCCUUCAGACGGUUCCAGGAACAAGGAUCUGUGAGCCACAGAGAGGUGAGCCCUCGGGAAGCACCACCGACCUCGGAAUGAUCUGGUCAAAGCCGCAUGUCCAUCCCCUUUCCAUUUCAAGCAGCCUCAGUCCAGACGGGUCUAUCCCACAAAAGAAAGCCGUUCACCUUCCGUGUGCCCAUCCUCGUGCGCUUUGUGUGCUGGGGGAGAUGCUGUUCAUUCUACAGAUCAUGGCACAAAGGCGUGGAAAAGGAUAGACCCAGAAUGAACUCGGAGAGUAAGGGCCUCGGUGCCCCAGCAGCAGAGCCGGCAUCCGCUCUCGUCGGAUAGGUCUCCUUUCUGGCUCUAGGUUUUGCACAACUGUCUGCCGGCUUCUGAAGGUGGGGAGGCGGGGGGCGGCUUUUCAGGUGCGGCACCUCACAGCACCUAGGUGCCCACAUUUGGAGGUGACACGGGCGACCCAGGUGCAUUUGCUGGAAAAUGCACGCCGCUGCUGUACCCACAUCAAAAGCGUGUGGUCCGAGUGUGGGAGUCCAGGGCGACGGGAGCGCUAUUCCUGGCACAGGCACAGACUGCCUGACUCGCAGCCUCCCCUUAUCUCGGUUUCCCUGUCUCUCAAGCAGGGCAAGAGCUAGCUUUCCUGGUUCCACAAAACCUUGGAGACAAACCACUUCGCUGGUAGGACCCAGGGUGCCAGGAACCAGCUCUUCCAGCGUGCCCCCUGAGAUUUUCUGAGAAUUCCCCGGACAAAGUCUCUACUGUGUUUCUUAGAGGAAGCGAGGUCAUUGGAAGACGUGGUCCGGGGUUUCGAGGUUAAGCUUCACCUCCCAAGGGCUCUUCCUAACCCACAGUCAGAUUCUGCCUCUCUCCUGCUUCACUCCCACUAAGCACUUACCGGGAAAGACACUCAGGGCAGGCCCACCGUCCUCCACCUUCUGAAGGGAACCUGUUCACAGCCCAGAGCUGUUUCCAGUUUCUCAGCAAGAUAGGCCCCUUUUCAUCUCCCAGGGCCUCUGCGAAUGCUGUUCUCUCUCUGCACAUUCUUUCCUUCUGAUCAGGUCAACAAACUCCUCUUCAUUCUUCAGAACCCAGCUCCUUUCAGCCCCUCUGGGAAGUCUUCCCUGGGCGCCUGCAUUCCCUCCGUCCUCAGGCUCAGCAUCAGGGAGCCUGAGAGGCCCUGAGGCCUGCUCCCUGCCCCUAUGCCCAGGCCAGGCUGCCUGGGGUGCUUAUGGGAAGCAGGAGCCAACCUGUCUCCUCCCAUUUCUCCUCCAGACUCCUCCCCCUACAGGAGGUCUGGAAUUCCCAUUCCAGGAGCACCCCCGCCUCCAGGGCCAGGCAGGCCAGAGGCAGGGCUGGAUGGCUGGAGACAGGUGGAGGGAGAAGGUGGUCUGCGGAAAGCCGAUGGGAGCUGGGUGAGGAGGACAGCCGGGACUGUGACUGGGGCUCCCGGUUGUAUGCGAUCGCGUCCCACUGGUGUGUGGGUGGCCCGGGGACCAUGCUCAGGAGGGACCCGUCUGUCAUUUUAGCGCACACCUCCAUGGGUGCUUCGGUUCAGAGCAAGCCUGGGGAAGGGCCAAGGGCGCCAAGUGCCAAGGAUCCUUCUGCCUGAGCUGAGCGGCUGCCCUCGGGAGGAAGAGCUGGCCGUGAGCAGGGCAGGCGCAAGUGCACAGGAGAUAAAGCCUGGGAGCGGCGCAUUGUCUUCCUGCCCCAGGCCGACAGCCUGCGACUCAGAGAGCUCCCUAGGUCUGGUUUUUCCUGUUCCUGGAAUUGCUGUGCAUGGUAAUUUCUCUGGGCUAGGUCAGAAGUGGCUGUUGGGGAGCGUCCUGUGCGUGUGUGUGCAUGUGCACGUGUGUGUGUGUGUGUGUGUGUGUGUGUGUGUAUGUGUGUGUGUGUGAUCUCAGUUUAUAGAAACAGGAAAUUUGGGAUUCGUAUCGACACCAUGUCCCAUGCCAUCUUAUUUCCUAGAAAGGUUGGGCUGAGAGCUGGGGCUGGACUCCUACAGGAAGGGGCUUCUGGGUCUGACCCGGCUUUGACCAGUCUUUUCUUCUGCUGGACGAAGACCCAAAGCACUUGGCCGCCAGCCUGGGAGGAGCUGGGAUGGGUGGCCGGCUCAUCUCAUUCUUGCUGGGUCUCUAAGUUCUGGUGGCCUCUGUCCUGGGCCCCAAGUGAGGGGAGGAAUGACUCUGGAAGGUGGGGGGGGGGG